Molecule: ribosomal RNA, 372 nt
Filed under: uncultured eukaryote
Lineage: Eukaryota
Description: partial 18S ribosomal RNA
Rfam family: Eukaryotic small subunit ribosomal RNA
Source: RNAcentral
CAAUAGCAUAUAUUAAAGUUGUUGCAGUUAAAAAGCUCGUAGUUGGAUUUCUGGGAGGGUGCCGCCGUCCGGCGUGUCCGUGUGCAGUGGCGCCCUUCCAUCCUUCUGUUAGCGUCUCUUGGCAUUCAUUUGCUGGUGGCGGGCUCAGAUAUUUUACCUUGAGAAAAUUAGAGUGUUUCAGGCAGGCUAGGCCGGAAUACAUUAGCAUGGAAUAAUGGAAUAGGACUACGGUCUCUUUGUUGGUUUGAGGGACUGCAGUAAUGAUUAAUAGGGAUAGUUGGGGGCAUUAGUAUUUAAUUGUCAGAGGUGGAAUUCUCAGAUUUGUUAAAGACUAACUUAUGCGAAAGCAUUUGCCAAGGAUGUUUUCAUUAA